RNAcentral lists this ribosomal RNA (253 nucleotides) under uncultured bacterium. Its description in RNAcentral is "partial 16S ribosomal RNA". It matches the Rfam family "Bacterial small subunit ribosomal RNA", at positions 524 to 776 of the family's 1533-position model. The record is from RNAcentral.
UACAGAGGGUGCUAGCGUUGUUCGGAAUCAUUGGGCGUAAAGGGCGCGUAGGCGGCUUAUCAAGUCAGGCGUGAAAUUCCCGGGCUCAACCUGGGGGCUGCGCUUGAUACUGAUGAGCUUGAAUGCGGGAGAGGAUAGUGGAAUUCCCAGUGUAGAGGUGAAAUUCGUAGAUAUUGGGAAGAACACCGGUGGCGAAGGCGGCUAUCUGGCCCGUAAUUGACGCUGAGGCGCGAAAGCGUGGGGAGCAAACAGG